RNAcentral lists this ribosomal RNA (540 nucleotides) under uncultured bacterium. Its description in RNAcentral is "bacterial SSU rRNA". It matches the Rfam family "Bacterial small subunit ribosomal RNA", at positions 368 to 916 of the family's 1533-position model. The record is from RNAcentral.
ACCCUGCGGCGCAAGCCUGAUGCAGCGACGCCGCGUGGGGGAUGACGGCCUUCGGGUUGUAAACUCCUUUCGCUAGGGACGAAGCGCAAGUGACGGUACCUGGAGAAGAAGCACCGGCUAACUACGUGCCAGCAGCCGCGGUAAUACGUAGGGUGCGAGCGUUGUCCGGAAUUACUGGGCGUAAAGAGCUCGUAGGUGGUUUGUCGCGUCGUUUGUGUAAGCCCGCAGCUUAACUGCGGGACUGCAGGCGAUACGGGCAUAACUUGAGUGCUGUAGGGGAGACUGGAAUUCCUGGUGUAGCGGUGGAAUGCGCAGAUAUCAGGAGGAACACCGAUGGCGAAGGCAGGUCUCUGGGCAGUAACUGACGCUGAGGAGCGAAAGCAUGGGUAGCGAACAGGAUUAGAUACCCUGGUAGUCCAUGCCGUAAACGGUGGGCGCUAGGUGUGAGUCCCUUCCACGGGGUUCGUGCCGUAGCUAACGCAUUAAGCGCCCCGCCUGGGGAGUACGGCCGCAAGGCUAAAACUCAAAGGAAUUUGACGG